UCUGAACCGGUUCAAGGAACGAAAGCGAAAAACGAAAACAAAUGACAUUGAACAGGAACAAAAACAAAAACGAAAACAAAAUCAAUUUUAAUCGUUCUGAACAGAAACGGAAACAGAAAUUCCAAAUUAACCGGUUAAUAACGGUAUUUUUUAUCGUUCUCUUUAUUAUAUCAAUUUGGCAGACCAAAAACACGAAUUCAAAUUGUGUGCGCAAAUGCGACGGUGACGCAUACAACGUGAAAUGCCCGCGAAGCAGACGUCAUAAGCAGAGCCCUUUCUGAUGCGACGAGCUUAAGGUUACCAAGCACCUGGCUGUUUCAUGUGCAAAGCCCCCCGGCAGAUGAGCCUGCGCACUGGAGCACUGGAACACUGGAGCACUGGAGCACGAGUGCUACAUUACACCUGAGAAGCUUGCUAGCUCCGUGCGGAUUACCUAAGUGAGGACCAGAAGGGAGAAGGACAGUGGGGAUUCAGAACCAGCCACCAAGGCGCCCUGCCACCCCACAUUCCCCGUUGUGCAUCAAGGUCACGCCGUUGUGUCUGCAACCUAUAAAUCACCCAUAAUUAUCACCAUUUUAAUGAAGUCUUCUGAGGAACAAAAAGAUUCUUCACGGAGCCGGGAGCCUAUCCCAGGCAACACAGGACAUGAUAAAACAUUCACAUAAACUUCCCAGGAUAUGGGCAUUGUAACUUAUACAUAAAAACCUUACAAAAAUAAUUGGACAAUUAUUUUAUGAGUAACCACAAUCAACAAUGUAACAUCUGGUUUAAACCAGUCACACAAUGCAUAUGGGUACUAUUAAGAACUCAAGUUAUAUUCAUUUGUUACAAUGUGUCAAAACCAUUAAAACACACAUAGUAUUUCCACAUAAUCUUUCCAUAAAGUAUCACUUUAUGACCUACAACUGGCCCUUUCUCCUCAGUUUGAGGUACACCUCUCUUCCCACUGAUUUCAUUUUGUCUUGUGACAAAUAUAUGUCACAAAUGAAAAUAAAAAUGCUUACUUUUGGUAAUCUCCAUCCAUUCUAUCCAUGAAUUUUGUAGUACAAUGAAUUAAUCAUUGAUUUGUGUUUGUGUAGACCACUUAAAGAUAACCUUCCAGAAUGCAGCCAAUUCAGAGCCGGGAUUUAGGGCUGAUCCCAGAAUGCACAUAGCCAGUGCCACCCAGCACAGGGCAUAGUGGCAGAGUAAGUGUUUAGUGACAGAGAGUCACCUCAGCUAUGUCUCUUUGGACUUUGGAAAGAAACCAGAUUAUCUGGAAGAAAUCCGUGCAAGAAUGUGAACACCAUUCACACAGAUAGAGUACAGCUGUCAAAGACACAAUUACAGCAUU
Long non-coding RNA from Paramormyrops kingsleyae, 1333 nucleotides. RefSeq lists it as uncharacterized. NCBI's taxonomy places the organism in Eukaryota, Metazoa, Chordata, Actinopteri, Osteoglossiformes, Mormyridae. The record is from RefSeq and is a predicted model, not a curated record.